GUGCAGCAGGCGCGAAUUUUUCUCAAUGGGGGCAACCCUGAAGGAGCGACGCCGCGUGGAGGAUGAAGGCUUUCGGGUUGUAAACUCCUGUCAUUUGAGAACAAGUGCCAACAAGUAACUACUGUUGGCUUGAUAGUAUCAGAAGAGGAAGGGACGGCUAACUCUGUGCCAGCAGCCGCGGUAAUACAGAGGUCCCAAGCGUUGUUCGGAUUCAUUGGGCGUAAAGGGUGCGUAGGUGGCGUGGUAAGUCGGGUGUGAAAUUUCGGAGCUUAACUCCGAAACUGCAUUCGAUACUGCCGUGC
RNAcentral lists this ribosomal RNA (302 nucleotides) under uncultured organism. Its description in RNAcentral is "bacterial SSU rRNA". It matches the Rfam family "Bacterial small subunit ribosomal RNA", at positions 346 to 641 of the family's 1533-position model. The record is from RNAcentral.